This 408-nucleotide ribosomal RNA is filed under the name uncultured bacterium. RNAcentral describes it as "partial 16S ribosomal RNA". It matches the Rfam family "Bacterial small subunit ribosomal RNA", at positions 28 to 526 of the family's 1533-position model. The record is from RNAcentral.
GACGAACGCUGGCGGCGUGCUUAACACAUGCAAGUCGAACGAAGUGGCGAACGGGUGAGUAAUACGUGGGUAACCUGCCCUCCUUUUUGGGAUAAGCCUUGGAAACGGGGUCUAAUACCGAAUAAGGGGGGAUGGGCUCGCGGCCUAUCGGCGUGUUGGUGGGGUGAUGGCCUACCAAGGCGGUGACGGGUGGCUGGCCUGGGAGGGUGCCAGGGCACAUUGGGAGUGAGAUACGGCCGAGGCUCCUACGGGUGGCAGCAGUGGGGGAUAUUGCGCAAUGGGCGAAAGCCUGAUGCAGGGACGCGGCGUGGGGGUUGAAGGCUUUCGGGUUGUAAACCUCUUUCGCAAUCGAACGGGUAGGUGCAGAAGAAGCGCCGGCUAACUACGUGCCAGCAGCCGCGGUAAUUC